RNAcentral lists this ribosomal RNA (429 nucleotides) under uncultured bacterium. RNAcentral describes it as "bacterial SSU rRNA". It matches the Rfam family "Bacterial small subunit ribosomal RNA", at positions 355 to 775 of the family's 1533-position model. The record is from RNAcentral.
UGGGGAAUUUUUCGCAAUGGGGGAAACCCUGACGAAGCAACGCCGCGUGGAGGAUGAAGGCCUUCGGGUCGUAAACUCCUGUCGACCGGGACGAACGCUAUUGGGCCCAAUACGCCCGAUAGUCGACUGUACCGGUGGAGGAAGCCACGGCUAACUCUGUGCCAGCAGCCGCGGUAAUACAGAGGUGGCAAGCGUUGUUCGGAAUUACUGGGCGUAAAGGGCGCGUAGGCGGUCUUGUCAGUCCCUUGUGAAAUCCCCCGGCUCAACUGGGGAACUGCACGGGAAACAGCAGGGCUUGAGUUCGGGAGAGGGAAGCGGAAUUCCGGGUGUAGCGGUGAAAUGCGUAGAUAUCCGGAGGAACACCGGUGGCGAAGGCGGCUUCCUGGACCGAUACUGACGCUGAGGCGCGAAAGCUAGGGGAGCAAACGG